GGAAGGCAUGCGCGUCCGGGCAUGCGGCUGGGCUUCAAACCCAGUAGGGGGCGUCGAUCGUUCCCUGGUAGGUUCGACUCCUGCUGCCUUCCGCCA
Molecule: transfer RNA, 96 nt
Filed under: Stenotrophomonas sp. GD03777
Lineage: Bacteria; Pseudomonadati; Pseudomonadota; Gammaproteobacteria; Lysobacterales; Lysobacteraceae
Description: tRNA-Sec
Rfam family: Selenocysteine transfer RNA
Source: RNAcentral